GGGGGAUAACUACUGGAAACGGUAGCUAAUACCGCAUAACGUCGCAAGACCAAAGAGGGGGACCUUCGGGCCUCUUGCCAUCGGAUGCGCCCAGAUGGGAUUAGCUAGUAGGUGGGGUAACGGCUCACCUAGGCGACGAUCCCUAGCUGGUCUGAGAGGAUGACCAGCCACACUGGAACUGAGACACGGUCCACACUCCUACGGGAGGCAGCAGUGGGGAAUAUUGCACAAUGGGCGCAAGCCUGAUGCAGCCAUGCCGCGUGUAUGAAGAAGGCCUUCGGGUUGUAAAGUACUUUCAGCGAGGAGGAAGGUGUCGAGGUUAAUAACCUCAGCAAUUGACGUUACUCGCAGAAGAAGCACCGGCUAACUCCGUGCCAGCAGCCGCGGUAAUACGGAGGGUGCAAGCGUUAAUCGGAAUUACUGGGCGUAAAGCGCACGCAGGCGGUCUGUCAAGUCGGAUGUGAAAUCCCCGGGCUCAACCUGGGAACUGCAUCCGAAACUGGCAGGCUAGAGUCUUGUAUAGGGGGGUAGAAUUC
This 536-nucleotide ribosomal RNA is filed under the name uncultured bacterium. Its description in RNAcentral is "bacterial SSU rRNA". It matches the Rfam family "Bacterial small subunit ribosomal RNA", at positions 138 to 669 of the family's 1533-position model. The record is from RNAcentral.